CAGUCGCCGCGGUAAUACCGAGGGUGCGAGCGUUAAUCGGAUUUACUGGGCGUAAAGCGUGCGUAGGCGGCUUCUUAAGUCGGAUGUGAAAUCCCUGAGCUUAACUUAGGAAUUGCAUUCGAUACUGGGAAGCUAGAGUAUGGGAGAGGAUGGUAGAAUUCCAGGUGUAGCGGUGAAAUGCGUAGAGAUCUGGAGGAAUACCGAUGGCGAAGGCAGCCAUCUGGCCUAAUACUGACGCUGAGGUACGAAAGCAUGGGGAGCAAACAGGAUUAGAGACCCCUGUAGUCCCUGUCUCUUAUAC
RNAcentral lists this ribosomal RNA (301 nucleotides) under uncultured bacterium. RNAcentral describes it as "partial 16S ribosomal RNA". It matches the Rfam family "Bacterial small subunit ribosomal RNA", at positions 509 to 807 of the family's 1533-position model. The record is from RNAcentral.